GACGGAAGGAGCGGCGGCGACGGAGGAGGAGGAUGGAGGCGGUGGUGUUCGUCUUCUCUCUCCUCGAUUGUUGCGCGCUCAUCUUCCUCUCGGUCUACUUCGUAUCCUUGCCUGAGGCAGGCGAACGCCUUGCCGGGGGACACGGCUGAGGUGGGUAAUUCCAGAAUUGAUUGGCCAUACCAUUGUCACUGUAUUACUGCUCAUGUCAUUGCACUGGUUCAUCUUCCUUCUCAACUUACCUGUUGCCACUUGGAAUAUAUAUCGAUACAUUAUGGUGCCGAGUGGUAACAUGGGAGUGUUUGAUCCAACAGAAAUACACAAUCGAGGGCAGCUGAAGUCACACAUGAAAGAAGCCAUGAUCAAGCUUGGUUUCCACUUGCUCUGCUUCUUCAUGUAUCUUUAUAGUAUGAUCUUAGCUUUGAUAAAUGACUGAAGCUGGAGAAGCCGUGGUUGAAGUCAGCCUACACUACAGUGCACAGUUGAGGAGCCAGAGACUUCUUAAAUCAUCCUUAGAACCGUGACCAUAGCAGUAUAUAUUUUCCUCUUGGAACAAAAAACUAUUUUUGCUGUAUUUUUACCAUAUAAAGUAUUUAAAAAACAUGAAUUGAG
This 609-nucleotide long non-coding RNA is filed under the name Homo sapiens (human). RNAcentral describes it as "HSALNT0022839". The record is from RNAcentral. Lineage: Eukaryota; Metazoa; Chordata; Mammalia; Primates; Hominidae.